This 776-nucleotide ribosomal RNA is filed under the name uncultured Neocallimastigales. Its description in RNAcentral is "partial large subunit ribosomal RNA". It matches the Rfam family "Eukaryotic large subunit ribosomal RNA", at positions 24 to 632 of the family's 3401-position model. The record is from RNAcentral. Lineage: Eukaryota; Fungi; Neocallimastigomycota; Neocallimastigomycetes; Neocallimastigales.
UACGACUACAUAUCAGGCAUAUCAAUAAGCGGAGGAAAAGAAACUAACAAGGAUUCCCCUAGUAACGGCGAGUGAAGCGGGAAGAGCUCAAAUUUGAAAUCUUAAAGGGUUUCCCUUUACGAAUUGUAGUUUAAAGAAGUGUUUUCUGUUGGAGUUUCGGUAAAGGUUCUUUGGAAUAGGACAUCAUAGAGGGUGAGAAUCCCGUAUUUGACCGUUACUUUUCCAGCUGUGUGAUACACUUUCAAAGAGUCGGAUUGUUUGGGAAUGCAGUCCAAAAUGGGUGGUAAAUUUCAUCUAAAGCUAAAUAUUGGCGAGAGACCGAUAGCGAACAAGUACCGUGAGGGAAAGAUGAAAAGAACUUUGAAAAGAGAGUUAAACAGUACGUGAAAUUGUCAAAGGGGAAGCGUUUGACACCAGUGUUGUUUAGUUGAAAAUCAAUUCAAUAGUUUUUGAUUCUAAGUAGUAUUGACUUCAUCAGCUUGCUGCUUUCUUCUCAGAAAUUAUUGAAUGCACUUUUCAGUUAACAAGUCAACAUCAAUUUCUUUUGUUGUAAAAGGGUAAGAGGAAGGUGGCUUGCGCUUCGGCUCAAGUGUUUAUAGCCUUUUAUCUCUGCAAUCGGAGAGAUUGAGGUCUGCAGCGUAGAUCCUUCGGGGUUAGAUACAUUGGUGCUAAGCUAUAGCCUUGUAUAGACAACUUGUUGACUAUGCUCAGUCAUGUAGCUUACUCGCUGAUGCUAUUUUACCUACGCUUAGGAUGUUGAUCUACAGAGCGAGAGU